This 253-nucleotide ribosomal RNA is filed under the name uncultured bacterium. Its description in RNAcentral is "partial 16S ribosomal RNA". It matches the Rfam family "Bacterial small subunit ribosomal RNA", at positions 524 to 776 of the family's 1533-position model. The record is from RNAcentral.
UACAGAGGGUGCAAGCGUUGUUCGGAAUUAUUGGGCGUAAAGCGCGUGUAGGCGGCUUGGCCAGUCGGGUGUGAAAGCCCUCAGCUCAACUGAGGAAGUGCGCCCGAAACUGCUGAGCUCGAGUGCCGGAGAGGGUGGCGGAAUUCCCCAAGUAGAGGUGAAAUUCGUAGAGAUGGGGAGGAACACCGGUGGCGAAGGCGGCCACCUGGACGGUUACUGACGCUGAGACGCGAAAGCGUGGGGAGCAAACAGG